UUUCCGUAGGUGAACCUGCGGAAGGAUCAUUAGUGAAUAUUAGCGCAUCUACUUGUAGAGCGUGACCUCCACUUUCUAACUCUGUGCAUUUAUUGGCGGAAGAACUAGAGUAACCGAAUUCUUCUGCGGCUCAUUUUAUAACACUAGUUAAAGUAUGUAACGAAAUAUCGAAACAAAAAAAAACUUUCAACAACGGAUCUCUUGGUUCCG
Molecule: unclassified non-coding RNA, 210 nt
Filed under: plant metagenome
Description: partial contains small subunit ribosomal RNA, internal transcribed spacer 1, and 5.8S ribosomal RNA
Source: RNAcentral